RNAcentral lists this ribosomal RNA (318 nucleotides) under uncultured soil bacterium. RNAcentral's name for it is "bacterial SSU rRNA". It matches the Rfam family "Bacterial small subunit ribosomal RNA", at positions 26 to 334 of the family's 1533-position model. The record is from RNAcentral.
AGAGUGAACGCUGGCGGUAGGCCUAACACAUGCAAGUCGAACGGCAGCACGGUAAGAGCUUGCUCUUAUGGGUGGCGAGUGGCGGACGGGUGAGGAAUACAUCGGAAUCUACCUUUUGGUGGGGGAUAACGUAGGGAAACUUACGCUAAUACCGCAUACGCCCUUCGGGGGAAAGCCGGGGACCAGCAAUGGCCUGGCGCUGAUAGAUGAGCCGAUGUCGGAUUAGCUAGUGUGAGUAAUGCUCACGAAGGCGAGAUCCGUAGCGUGGUCUGAGGAGGAUGAGUCAGCCACGACGUGGAACUGACGACGACGGUCCAG